RNAcentral lists this ribosomal RNA (492 nucleotides) under uncultured bacterium. RNAcentral describes it as "partial 16S ribosomal RNA". It matches the Rfam family "Bacterial small subunit ribosomal RNA", at positions 29 to 507 of the family's 1533-position model. The record is from RNAcentral.
AGUGAACGCUGGCGGUAGGCCUAACACAUGCAAGUCGAACGGCAGCACAGUAAGAGUUUGCUCUUACGGGUGGCGAGUGGAGGACGGGUGAGGCAUAUAUCGGAUUUUUCUUUUUAGUGGGGGAUAACGUAGGGAAAGUUCUGAUAACACCUCAUAUGAACUACGGGUGAAAGAAGCGGAGCUACGGAUCGGGCGGGACUGAAAGAGCCGAGGUCGGGUGUGCUAGUUGGCGUGGUAAAGGCACAGCAAGGCAACGCUCCGUUGCUGGUCUGAGAGGGUGAUCAACCACACGUGAACGUAAACACGGUCCAGACUCCUACGGUGAUGAGCAGUGGGGACUAGUCGACAAUUGGCGGAAGCCUGAUCCCGCCAUACCGCGUGGGUGACGACGGCCUUCGGGUUGUAAAACCCUUUUGUUGGGAAAGAAAAGCCGCAGUUUAAUACCCCGCUGUUCUGACGGUACCCAAAGAAUAAGCACCGGCUAACUUCGUG